UACGUAGGGUGCAAGCGUUAAUCGGAAUUACUGGGCGUAAAGCGUGCGCAGGCGGUUAUGUAAGACAGUUGUGAAAUCCCCGGGCUCAACCUGGGAACUGCAUUUGUGACUGCACAGCUGGAGUGCGGCAGAGGGGGAUGGAAUUCCGCGUGUAGCAGUGAAAUGCGUAGAUAUGCGGAGGAACACCGAUGGCGAAGGCAAUCCCCUGGGCCUGCACUGACGCUCAUGCACGAAAGCGUGGGGAGCAAACAGG
RNAcentral lists this ribosomal RNA (253 nucleotides) under uncultured bacterium. RNAcentral describes it as "partial 16S ribosomal RNA". It matches the Rfam family "Bacterial small subunit ribosomal RNA", at positions 524 to 776 of the family's 1533-position model. The record is from RNAcentral.